CAAUGAGUUUGUAUCUCAGGACUUCCCAGGUUGAUAUUGAAAGUUUUCCUGCAGGGGUUAGUCCGUCAAAAUAUACCAAUGCCUACUCAAGUAGUUUUUAGUUCAGCAACCAAACUAGACUCCAUGUCUAAUCAGAUUAAGGAAGGCUAUUUAACCUAAGCACCAUGCUUAAUUUAAAAGCCAAUAGAAGUAUGUACAGUACUUCCAAACUCACACUUACUAGAAUAAACAAAGGUAGCAUGAUGGCUUAU
This 251-nucleotide long non-coding RNA is filed under the name Sorghum bicolor (sorghum). Its description in RNAcentral is "long non-coding RNA (SBIC_LNC006156)". Lineage: Eukaryota; Viridiplantae; Streptophyta; Magnoliopsida; Poales; Poaceae. The record is from RNAcentral.